GACGGCGUAGCUCAGUUGGCAGAGCAUUGGGCUAGUAUUCCAAACGUCGUAGGUUCGAUUCCCACCGUGGCCA
RNAcentral lists this transfer RNA (73 nucleotides) under Paramuricea clavata. It matches the Rfam family "tRNA". Rfam says of the family: Transfer RNA (tRNA) molecules are approximately 80 nucleotides in length. Their secondary structure includes four short double-helical elements and three loops (D, anti-codon, and T loops). The record is from Rfam by way of RNAcentral. Lineage: Eukaryota; Metazoa; Cnidaria; Anthozoa; Malacalcyonacea; Plexauridae.